GAGAUUCAAUUUCCUCUUCUAAUCUCUUCUUCAAGCUCUCAACAACAAACUGCCUCUCUGAGACAGGAUUGUUUGCGUUUACUUCCUCUCCUCUUUCAUGUUCUGCUUCAUCAGGCCCUCUCCGCAUUAAAUGCUUCUGGUACCAUUCCUCAAAUGCUUGUUUCUUCUUGAAGUAUUCCUUUCUGGUUUCCUCACAUCGCUCCUUUAACUUCAUCUCUUCCUCCUGCUGAAGUAUGAUUGUCUUUAUCACGGCAACAAAGGAGGAAAUAGCAGAUUUGGCAAGCUCAUCAGGAAGCUUGUCAACAUAAUCAUGCCAUGCAUGGAGAAGGGCUUGGAUUGGUGGAUUCUGUGCCUUUGGAGGGGAUGAGAUUUUCUCUUUU
RNAcentral lists this long non-coding RNA (380 nucleotides) under Glycine max (soybean). Its description in RNAcentral is "long non-coding RNA (GMAX_LNC000759)". Lineage: Eukaryota; Viridiplantae; Streptophyta; Magnoliopsida; Fabales; Fabaceae. The record is from RNAcentral.